CACUCUUGUUGAGAGGAGCAGGUAGCAGAGAAGCAAAGGGUGUGAGACCGUGAUUUCUCAAAAGAUCUUGCCUCUGUCUCAACCUCAGUCCUACCCCUCGUUCCCUUCUGCCUGUCAAUGAAGCCGUGGCAGCAUGCUACAGUGCCUAUGGUCCUUUUAGAGAAAGGUUAGAGGGGCUGGCCCCAUUACUUCGUCCCCAUGUUGCCAGCUACAGCCAAGGAUGCCCUCCAUCGACUGUCCACCUACCUGGAAGAACUUGAGGCUGGGGAACUGAAGAAAUUCAAAUUAUACCUGGGGAUUGCGGAGGAACUGGGCCAGGACAAGAUCCCCAGGGGACGAAUGGAGAUGGCUGGUCCUCUGGAAAUGGCCCAAUUGAUGGUGGCCCAUAUGGGGACAAAGGAGGCUUGGCUUCUGGCUCUCAGCACCUUUGAGAGGAUCCACAGGAAGGACCUGUGGGAGCGAGGACAGGGAGAAGACCUGGUGAGGGUGACUCCAAGUAAUGGUCUAUGCUCUCUUGAGAGCCAGUCAACGUGCCUUUCGGACGUCUCUCCUGAUGCUCCAAGAAAAGAUCCCCAGAUAACCUACAAAGACUAUGUCCGAAGGAAAUUCCGGCUAAUGGAAGACCGCAAUGCGCGACUAGGCGAAUGUGUGAACUUAAGUCAUCGUUACACUCGGCUUCUCCUAGUAAAGGAACACUCAAAUCCUAUCUGGGCACAGCAAAAACUUCUGGAAACAGGGUGGGAACACUCCAGAACCAGGGGCCACCAGGCUAGCCCUAUCCAAAUGGAGACCCUCUUUGAGCCAGAUGAAGAACGCCCGGAGCCACCACGCACAGUGGUAUUACAAGGGGCAGCGGGGAUGGGGAAGUCCAUGUUGACCCACAAAGUGAUGUUGGACUGGGCCGAUGGGAGACUCUUCCAAGACCAGUUCGAUUAUGUCUUCUAUAUCAGCUGCAGGGAGUUGAAUAGAAGCCACACCCAGUGCAGUGUACAUGACCUCCUCUCCAGCUGCUGGCCAGAGCAUGGUGCACCCCUCGAGGACCUCAUCCGGGCUCCUGAUCGUCUUCUAUUCAUCAUCGAUGGCUUCCAUGAGCUUCAUCCCUCUUUCCAUGACGUUCAGGGUCCCUGGUGCCACUGCUGGGAGGAGAAACGACCCACGGAACUCCUCCUCGGAAGCCUGAUUCGGAGGUUGCUUCUGCCCCAGCUCUCUUUGCUCAUCACCACACGACCCUGUGCACUGGAGAAGCUGCACGGCUUGUUGGAACACCCUAGGCACGUGGAGAUCCUGGGCUUCUCCGAGGCAGAGAGGGAGGAAUAUUUCUACAGAUAUUUCCACAACACUGGACAAGCGAGCCAAGUGUUCAGCUUCAUGAGGGACUAUGAGCCCCUCUUUACCAUGUGUUUUGUUCCCAUGGUGUCCUGGGUGGUCUGCACCUGCUUAAAGCAGCAGCUAGAAAGUGGGGAGCUUUUAAGACAAACAUCUAGGACCACCACAGCGGUUUAUAUGUUCUACCUUCUGAGCCUGAUGCAGCCCAAGCCAGGGACCCCAACCUUCAAAGUCCCAGCCAACCAGAGAGGCCUGGUCUCUCUGGCUGCAGAGGGCCUCUGGAAUCAGAAGAUUCUCUUCGAGGAAGAGGAUCUUGGGAAACAUGGCCUAGAUGGAGCAGAGGUCUCCACCUUCCUCAACGUGAACAUAUUCCAGAAGGGCAUCAAGUGUGAGAAAUUCUACAGCUUCAUCCACCUGAGUUUCCAGGAAUUCUUCACAGCCAUGUACUGUGCACUGCACGGCAGAGAGGCGGUGAGGAGAGCACUGGCUGAGUAUGGUUUCUCAGAAAGGAACUUCUUGGCCCACACCGUCCGCUUUCUCUUUGGCCUCCUCAAUGAAGAGAUGAGAUGCUACCUCGAGAGGAAUCUCGGCUGGACCAUCUCCCCUCAGGUCAAGGAGGAAGCAUUGGCGUGGAUCCAAAACAAGGCUCGAAGUGAGGGCUCCACCCUGCAGCAUGGCUCCCUGGAGCUUCUCAGCUGCUUGUACGAGAUCCAGGAGGAAGACUUCAUCCAGCAGGCCCUGAGCCACUUUCAGGUGGUUGUUGUCAGAAACCUCUCAACGAAGAUGGAGCACGUGGUCUGCUCGUUUUGUGCGAGGUACUGCAGAGGCACAGAAGUGCUUCACUUGUAUGGGAGUGCCUAUAGUACAGGCGCAGAGGAUGGCCCGCCAGAACCUCCAGGAGCCCAGACGCAGUCCACACACUCACAGGAAAGGAACAUCCUUCCUGACAUUUACAGUGCAUACCUCUCAGCAACCAUCUGCACCAACUCAAACCUGAUCGAGCUGGCCUUGUAUCGAAACGCCUUGGGCAGCCAGGGCGUGAGGCUGCUCUGUCAAGGCCUCCGACAUGCAAACUGCAAGCUUCAGAACCUGAGGCUGAAGAGGUGUCACAUCUCCGGAUCAGCCUGCCAGGAUCUCGCAGCGGCUAUCAUCGCCAAUAGGAAUUUAAUCAGGCUGGACCUCAGUGGCAACAGCAUUGGAGUGCUAGGCCUAGAGCUGCUCUGUGAGGGGUUACAGCACCCCAUGUGUAGGCUGCAGAUGAUCCAUUUUUCAAGUCCCUGCUCCUCCCGAGAACUGUGGAUGAAGAAUAGAACUUGGCCUACUCUUGACCCAAGGCUGAGGAAGUGUUUGCUGGAGGCUGCGGCUGGCCGAGCACUGGCCUCUGUUCUCAGCAACAACUCACAUCUUGUAGAACUGGAUCUGACAGGAAACCCCUUGGAGGAUUUGGGGCUGAAGUUACUGUGUCAAGGGCUGAGGCACCCAGUCUGCAGGCUGCGGACCUUGUGGCUGAAGAUCUGCCACCUUGGACAAGCUUCCUGUGAAGAUCUGGCUUCUACUCUCAAAAUGAACCAGAGCCUGAUGGAGCUGGACCUGGGUCUGAAUGACCUUGGGGAUUCUGGGGCGCUUCUGCUGUGUGAGGGCCUCAGGCAUCCAGAUUGCAAACUCCAGACCCUCCGGCUGGGCAUUUGCCGACUGGGCUCAGACGCGUGUGCAGGGGUUGCUAGUGUGCUCCAGGUCAACACGUGCCUCCGAGAGCUGGACCUGAGCUUCAAUGACUUGGGAGACAGGGGCCUGUGGCUGCUGGGGGAAGGACUGAGGCACCAGACCUGCAGACUCCAGAAGCUCUGGCUGGACAGUUGCGGCCUCACUUCCAAAGCAUGUGAGGACCUGUCUUCAGUCCUGGGAAUCAGUCAGACCCUGAAUGAGCUUUAUCUGACCAAUAAUGCUCUGGGGGACACUGGUGUUCGUCUGCUGUGCAAGAGGCUGAGGCAUCCGGGGUGCAAGCUUCGUGUCCUGUGGCUUUUCGGAAUGGACCUGAACAAAGUGACCCACAGGAGGAUGGCGGCACUUCGAGUCACAAAACCAUACCUAGAUAUUGGGUGCUAAGCAGUAAUGCAGAAUGGACCAGGUCUUCCGGAUGUUUCCGGCUAUGACAGAACUUUAAGGCCUGUCUCUGGUAUAUGAUGACACCCAAACGAUGCAACACUUUCCACUUAAACCAGAUCAGAAGAGCGCUCCUACAUUUGAGUGCCACCAGGCCCUAAAACCUGGCGGCACUUUUUAAAGAAAAAAAAAGUGCCCCCAUAGUUUGAGAACCGCAAGAUGACAGACACGGUGGCAGCAAGAAAAAACAUCGUCAGUCACUCCAGCCUGAGAAAACCUGGAUGAAAUCAUGAACAGACUUCAGAGACCCCAGCAGACAUAUUGAGAAGGGCUUGUGCUGCAGCAAGGAAGUGAGGCAUUGAACACUUGCUCCCCAGUCCUCUGGAGGCUCAAGUCGAAAGAUGCAUUUCAUCUCCCCAAAGGGACUGCCAACCUGCUAACUACUUUGACUUCCUUCUUCACCCGGGGUCUGAAUGGCACUGAGGCUUGCAGAAUGAUCAUAGUCACAGAGUUGAGCUGCUUGGCCUCAAACUUGUGUAGUAGAGAAAAAUCAUCUGCUGUCCCUUCAGUUUCCUAACACACGCAUUGCUGGUCUUUCUUCUUUAUCGUACACUACAUUAUAUGAAGUGACUAUAUUCAUUUUCUGUUCCUAUGUGGUUUGGGUGUUGAGGGUUUGUUCUAUCUAUCUAUCUAUCUAUCUAUCUAUCUAUCUAUCUAUCUAUCUAUCUAACUUAGGACACAGAUUCUCUAUUUAGGCGAAGCUGGAUUCAAACUCAAGAGACUUGAAUCUCUCUGUCUCCCAAGUGCUGUGAUUAAAGGUUUAAACCAACAUGUCUUGGUGGCUUAUUUUUUCAGACCAUGUAAUUCUGUUUACCCCUGGCUAGCCUGGGACUCACUAGUAUGGGGCCUCUUCAUUUUAUUUAUUUGGGUUGGGGUGUCUGUGUGUGUGCCCAUGGUAGGGUGCUCUAGUGGAGGUCAAAGAACAGCUUGCCUAAAUUAAUUUCUCCUUCUCCUUUGUAGUCCUGGGGAUGGAAGCCAGGCGUAAGGGCAGGUGACAUAAGGACCCAGGAAAGGAACACCACUGUACUUUUUUUCCUUGAAACUCUCUGGGCUGAACCGUAGGAUUGCCAUUUGCAUGUCGGCGGUCCUGGCUGUCAUGAUAAUGACCCGGUCCUCACUCCCUUCUCCACCCAGCCCUUGGCUUUGUUUACCGGCACUGAUCAUUAGAAUAAGAAUGUUUCCGUAAAUUCCCAACAGGGUUUGAAAUCCUUUUAUGCACAAACUUAAUUGGUGCAAUCCCCUGGGCCUGACCUCAUUCACCUUGGUGCGGCUGGUGGACGCCUUUAAGGCAUUAAAAGAUAAACUGCCGUUUUAUCCCUAUUUUCUUUGGCGAAAGGUAUUAUAAGGAAAAGUGGAGGGAAACAUUCUUUCGGGGGCUGGCACACCUGGCCCAGUUUGCUUGGCCCGGCAUCAGAAUAUAAGAUUAUUCUCAGGCUAAACUGCCUGCCUCUGAACCAAGCACUGUAGCACACGCCUCCUACCCUCCUCUUCCAGAGAGGCCCAUUAGGCAGCCAAGGUUGGUCUGGCAAUUCACUGUGUAGAACGAUCUGGCCUUGAACUCACAGCUCUGGUUUCGGUAUCAGCUUCCCAAGUGUUCAGAAGACAAGUACGAGCUAUCUUAAUUCCCAUUACAUGUAGACCCUGAUAUAGGAUACCUGUCAUGUUCUCAUUUUUUAAACGUUGUCCUCCAAGGUACAUAUGUUCCCAUUGCCUCAGCCCUGGCAGUGAGGGAGCCAGAACCUGGUGCAGGCUGUACAAAGCAUCUAAAUUCGGGUGGUACCUGUUUCACCUAUAGUUUUGAGAACUUCAUAUUUAGUUUUAAACUCAGCAGAAAUACACUCUCAGUAAUAGUUGGCUGACAAGCAGUUAAAAAAAGGUAGCCUGGCACCGACAGUGUAGCAUCCUCCAUUUAUAAUCCCAACCCUCAUGGAAAGGGAGGCAGGAGCCCUGCUUUGAGCUGAAGCCAGCCUGAACUUCAGAGUAAGUUCUACUCCAAUCUAGGCUAUCGGGAGACCUUGUCUCAAAAGAAAAAAAAAAAAAAAAAAAAAAAAGGAAAAAAAAAGAAAAAAAAAGGAACAGAGAACGAGUAUAAUAAAAAUUGAGCUGGAUAGCUGGAUAUAGCGAUGAUGAUAGUGUGCUUACUUGGCAUGGCUGAAGCCCUGGGUUUAAUUCCCGGACUUGAAAAAGAAAAAAAAAAAAAAGAGAGAGAGACCAUCUUUUUAUUUUAUUUUAAGAAGUUUUUGACACCGGAGAGCUCAGUUUCUGUGUAGUUGCUGGGAGCCGCGGCAAGACCACCACGUGUCUCUUUCUAUUGUCUAAGGCGGCUCUUCGUUCUUCUUUUGGGAUCGCGGAACUAAGUCUUUGUGAUGGAUACCUCGUGACCUAAGAAACCAUUCACUAGCCAAUUCUUUAUUGAGUACCGGUCUGGUGGAAGCGAGCCAGGGGUUUGGAGGGUGAGGGGUGAGGUUGCUGAGCAAGCAGGAUGUAGACUCAUGUCAGUGUCUGUGUGGUGUGUUUGGAAUUGAACCUAGGGAGGCUCUCACGUGACAAGUCCCAGCCCAUGCUACACUCCUUCCCAUAGGACUCGGUUUUCAAGCCUUAUGUUAAAUGUGAUAUACUGUUAGGUCAGUGUGGUUUGUUAUUGAGAAAUGAUCCUGACUCUCCUUAAGCUUCACAAGGCAGGAGAUGUAGCAGAGUUGAUGGAGCACGUAUUGACCCAGCAUUCCUUCUUGGCUGGA
Rattus norvegicus (Norway rat) is the source of this 6227-nucleotide non-coding RNA. NCBI's taxonomy places the organism in Eukaryota, Metazoa, Chordata, Mammalia, Rodentia, Muridae. The record is from RefSeq and is a predicted model, not a curated record.